CUCCAGCUGGGCUAGCCCAACCUCCUCUCCUUCCCUCUGGCAUGUACCCCAGAAUUCUAAUACAUUGUCUCAUCCAGGGCAACGAAGAAGAUAGUCAUGAUGCCUGUUCCUACAAGAGUGCUUCUCUGCCUUUUUCUCAUCAUAGAAUACAUAAGAAAAAUGAAAACAUUCAUAUGGUAAAUAGAACUAACUGUUCUCUGCCAUGGUGCUGAAGUGACUGGCCCUGAGAGCUGAGGAGAUCAAGAUCUACCUACCUGUAACCAAGGUGUUACACCCCAGAGGAAAAGCUGUGUCCUGAACAAUGCUGCCAGCAGAUACCCUAAACUUGUGCCAACCUCUAGACUCUACUCUUUGGAAGCAAGUCCCUAGCACAGCCCAAACUCACCGGUGUUAAGCUCCAUCUCAUUGAGAGGUCUUCUUCCUGCAAACUUUCUGCACUCCUAACUCCACCGCAGCAUCUGCCUUCUGGAGAACACAGCUGUCACACCUGUGUUAAGCUCCAAAGCGCUGGAGGUACCUAGUGCCUGGAUGAAACUAGAGACAUGGAGAUAUUGCACCCAAUAGGACAAGGAUGAAUCCAGCCCACAGGCCACCAGAGAGGAGGAAUACAGCUAAGUGGCUGAGGGCAUGGAUGCUAGCAGCUGGCACCAGCGCUAACCAAGGGCUUAUCAGGACAAGGGAGGCAGCUCCCCUCCAUGCCAGCCAACUGCACUUAGGUGACGAUGCUGAGGAUUUCUGCAGUCUAAGUUACUCUGAAGCUUGGGCAAAUUGUUUUACUGCCUUCAGCCUUAGUUACCCCAUAUAUAAAAUGGGAUAAGUGACACGUGUUGUUAAAGUUCACCUUUCAUCGGACCCCAAAAUGAUUCUAGAGAUAGAGAGCAGAUUAGGGGUCGCUUAGGGCUGAGGAAGAUGGGGCUAUAGGAGGCUGAUAGCUAAAGGGCACAGGGUUUCUUUCUGAUGUGAUGAAAAAGCUCUAAAAUUGACUGCGGUGAUGAUUGCAUAACUCUGUGAAUAUACUCAAAAAUCACUGAAUUGUACACUCUGAAUGAGCGAGUUGUAUAACACGUGAAUUGUAUUUCAACCAAGCUGCUAUUUUAAAACACUUAGCUCAAUGAAUCAUUGCAAGAUGAAUAACCCAUGUAACCAUCACCCAAGUCAGGAAAUGGAAUAUUCUAGAAUCCCAAAGUCCACCUACCGCCUGCGAGGACAUGUAUUUUUUGUUUGUUUGUUUAGUCUCCUGUCCCCAGAAAUCUUAUGGCACAUCUCUGAAAUAGGUCAUUUGGUGUGACUGGUAUUAACUUCCACUGGGUCUGCAAGGAAACAUGGUGGCCUCCCUGGUGAUCCUUCUCAUGAAACACAGAGUUCAUUCCUAGCGUCCUAUUUUAAAAGGGAUACUGGCAAAUCUGAGCCCAUCCCAAAGGUGUGUGAACAGAUGAGGAGAUCUAGUGUUCACAUGAACAAAAGCUGAGGAUCCAGGUCCACAUAGCCUGGAGAAAAGAUUUCUGGGGGACCGAAUUGUUGUCUUUCCAUAGUAAAGGGUUACCACAUGGAAGUGAAGGCACCUGUGCUUUGUCACCCACAGGGCAGAUCUAGGAAACAGGAGAUGGGGCAGUGCCAACAUGUAUAGUGUCCAGCAUUACAUAUGGCACGUGACACACAAAUACCACCAGAGUCAUUUAUCAAGGGCCUAGUACAUGUCGGGCUUUGCGUGUUCUCUCGAAUCCUCACAAAGACCUUGUCAGAUGGGUAUAAUAAUCCAUGUUUUGCAAAAGAGGAAUGAACUGGGAGAAGAAGAUUUGCCAAUGGGGACAGAUGAGACAGUGUGGCCCUCUUAGGCGCCAACAUCUUUAUCCUGCAUUAAAUGAACAUGCAAGCUUGUCCAACAGACAGGCAUCAAAGGCUGUUUAGAAGAGAAGGGAAAAGAAAUGGAGAGGGAGCAGGGGACCUCCCAAGCUCAUUGCAGGUGUGUCCCUAAGAACUCCAGAGGCCCGGCCAGGUACAGUGGCUCACGCCUGUAAUCCCAGCACUUUGGGAGGUGGGCGGAUCACGAGGUCAGGAGAUGGAGACCACCCUGGCUAACACGGUGAAACCCCG
Molecule: long non-coding RNA, 2094 nt
Filed under: Homo sapiens (human)
Lineage: Eukaryota; Metazoa; Chordata; Mammalia; Primates; Hominidae
Description: HSALNT0184470
Source: RNAcentral